GGGGUUAUAGCUCAGUCGGGAGAGCGCCUGCCUUGCAAGCAGGAGGUCGAGGGUUCGAUUCCCUCUGGCUCCA
Molecule: transfer RNA, 73 nt
Filed under: Thalassospira xiamenensis
Lineage: Bacteria; Pseudomonadati; Pseudomonadota; Alphaproteobacteria; Rhodospirillales; Thalassospiraceae
Description: tRNA_Ala_TGC
Rfam family: tRNA
About the family: Transfer RNA (tRNA) molecules are approximately 80 nucleotides in length. Their secondary structure includes four short double-helical elements and three loops (D, anti-codon, and T loops).
Source: RNAcentral